AUUGAACGCUGGCGGCAUGCUUUACACAUGCAAGUCGAACGGUAACAUGCCUUCUGGUGCUGGCGAGUUGCGUACGGGGGCGUAAUGCAUCGGAACGUGCCCAGAGGUGGGGGAUAACGCAGCGAAAGCUGUGCUAAUACCUCAUGUGAUCUGAGUAUGAAAGCUGGGGACCAGGCAGCAAUGUUUGGCCUCGCGCCUUUGGAGCGGCCGAUGUCGGAGUAGGUAGUUGGUGGGGUAAAGGCCUACCAAGCCGACGAUCGGUAUCUGGUCUGAGAGGACGAACAGCCAGACUGGGACUGAGACACGCCCACGACUCCUACGGGAGGCAGCAGUGGGGAAUUUUGGACAAUGGGCGAAAGCCUAAUCCAGCAAUGCCGCGUGAGGGAAGAAGGCCUUCGGGUUGUAAAACGCUUUUGUACGGAACGAAAAGGAUCUGGCUAAUACCUGGGGAUGAUGACGGUACCGGAAGAAUAAGCACCGGCUAACUACGUG
Molecule: ribosomal RNA, 492 nt
Filed under: uncultured bacterium
Lineage: Bacteria
Description: partial 16S ribosomal RNA
Rfam family: Bacterial small subunit ribosomal RNA
Source: RNAcentral